AAACCAACAGGGAUUGCCUUAGUAACGGCGAGUGAAGCGGCAAAAGCUCAAAUUUGAAAUCUGGCACCUUCGGUGUCCGAGUUGUAAUUUGAAGAAGGUAACUUUGGGAUUGGCUCUUGUCUAAGUUCCUUGGAACAGGACGUCACAGAGGGUGAGAAUCCCGUGCGAUGAGAUGACCAAUCCUAUGUAAAGUGCUUUCGAAGAGUCGAGUUGUUUGGGAAUGCAGCUCUAAGUGGGUGGUAAAUUCCAUCUAAAGCUAAAUAUUGGCGAGAGACCGAUAGCGAACAAGUACAGUGAUGGAAAGAUGAAAAGAACUUUGAAAAGAGAGUGAAAAAGUACGUGAAAUUGUUGAAAGGGAAGGGCUUGAGAUCAGACUUGGUAUUUUGCAUUCCUUACCUUCGUGGUGGGGUUCCUUGCAGUUUACUGGGCCAGCAUCGGUUUGGAUGGUGGGAUAAUGACAUUGGAAUGUGGCUCUGCUUCGGUAGAGUGUUAUAGCCAGUGUUGAUACCGCCUGUCUAGACCGAGGACUGCGUCUUUGACUAGGAUGCUGGCAUAAUGAUCUUAAGUCGC
RNAcentral lists this ribosomal RNA (570 nucleotides) under Schwanniomyces occidentalis var. occidentalis. Its description in RNAcentral is "partial large subunit ribosomal RNA". It matches the Rfam family "Eukaryotic large subunit ribosomal RNA", at positions 62 to 648 of the family's 3401-position model. The record is from RNAcentral. Lineage: Eukaryota; Fungi; Ascomycota; Pichiomycetes; Serinales; Debaryomycetaceae.